This is a long non-coding RNA of Platichthys flesus (European flounder), 748 nucleotides long. RefSeq lists it as uncharacterized. The record is from RefSeq and is a predicted model, not a curated record. Lineage: Eukaryota; Metazoa; Chordata; Actinopteri; Pleuronectiformes; Pleuronectidae. The transcript has 2 exons.
CGCAGGCUGGACGCACAUGGACAGAAGGUUAUGUCAGUAGUUUUAUAAAAGACAAGAAUUUACAGGAUGUGAACUUUUAUUCUGAUAAAUAUGCAAAUAUUUCAUAAAUUCUCUUUUACAGGUGAGAAAUAAACAUUGUGUCCUCAGGUCACCUGGGAGACAGCUCGGCAGUUUGGCUCCUGAUUCUGGAUUUGUCCAUUGUCCGUUGUGUCCACAGCUAUACUCCAUCACAAUGAUUAUUGACCCGUCUCUUGUGCUGUCUUACAUUGACACUGAGGAGGACGACUGCUCCAGGUUCCAUCAGAUCCACAGUCGACCUGAAGAUGAUCCAGAAUCUCACCGUCCUGAAAACACACGAGAGACGAGCAUCAAACACGGCCCCCCUAAAUAUAACACCAGAGGAAACCAUGUUUAUGUAUAGUGUGUUUAAUAUUUUAUACACACUAUAUAGCAUUUAAAUUAUGUAGAUAAAUAUACUAUAGUAUCUAUAUAAACACAUUAUAUAUAGUGUAUGUAUAAAUAUAUACUGUGUGUAUAUAAAAAUGUGAGUAUAUAAAUGUGUCUAUUAGUGUUAUACAAGUGAUGAGGUAAAGACCUUCAUCAGUUUGUAUCCGGGUGAACAGGUGAACAGGACGUGGUCUUUGAAGAAGUAUUCUGAUUGGACAGGAUUCAUCACAGUGUUGGACGGGCUCUCGGGGACUGGACACUGACUUCCUGUUAUGUCAAAAUAAAAUCAUCCAUUAAAACA